RNAcentral lists this ribosomal RNA (875 nucleotides) under Phellinus glaucescens. RNAcentral describes it as "LSU rRNA". It matches the Rfam family "Eukaryotic large subunit ribosomal RNA", at positions 66 to 915 of the family's 3401-position model. Lineage: Eukaryota; Fungi; Basidiomycota; Agaricomycetes; Hymenochaetales; Hymenochaetaceae. The record is from RNAcentral.
UAACAAGGAUUCCCCUAGUAACUGCGAGUGAAGCGGGAAGAGCUCAAAUUUAAAAUCUGGCGGUCUUCUGGCCGUCCGAGUUGUAGUCUGGAGAAGUGUUAUCCGCGUCGGACCGUGUACAAGUCUCCUGGAACGGAGCGUCAUAGAGGGUGAGAAUCCCGUCCAUGGCACGGACGCCCGAUGCUUUGUGAGGCACUCUCAAAGAGUCGAGUUGUUUGGGAAUGCAGCUCAAAAUGGGUGGUAAAUUCCAUCUAAAGCUAAAUAUUGGCGAGAGACCGAUAGCGAACAAGUACCGUGAGGGAAAGAUGAAAAGCACUUUGGAAAGAGAGUUAAACAGUACGUGAAAUUGUUGAAAGGGAAACGCUUGAAGUCAGUCGCGUCCCGUGGAACUCAGCCUGGUCUCGGCCUGGUGUACUUUCCAUGUUGGACGGGUCAACAUCAAUUUUGGCCGGUGGAGAAAGGCRAGGGGAAUGUAGCGUUGCUUCGGCGGCGUGUUAUAGCCCCUCGUUGGAUACGCCGGCUGGGAUUGAGGAUCGCAGCACGCCCUUGUGGCCGGGGCAUUUCGCCCACGUAAGGUGCUUAGGAUGUUGGCAUAAUGGCUUUAAGCGACCCGUCUUGAAACACGGACCAAGGAGUCUAACAUGCUUGCGAGUGUUCGGGUGGAAAACCCUUGCGCGUAAUGAAAGUGAAAGUUGGGAACCUCCGCGAGGGGGUGCACCGACGCCCGGCCCUGACGUUCUCUGACGGUGCUGCGGUAGAGCAAGUAUGUUGGGACCCGAAAGAUGGUGAACUAUGCCUGAAUAGGGCGAAGCCAGAGGAAACUCUGGUGGAGGCUCGUAGCGAUUCUGACGUGCAAAUCGAUCGUCAAAUUUGGG